CAUGCACAUGAGCACGCAGAUUGGUAUGCUCAAUGAUGCAUGUAUGCUCCUUAGAGUUUUCUACUUGUAUCCAAAUGUUUUGGAGGCAAAAUGCCUUUCCUAGCAUGCAUCCAAACAUGCCCACAAUCAUAUUAACCGGACCACUUGCUCGAACGAAAAGCAGGCGACAGGCGAUCUUCUUUGUGGAGUCAGUUGCCACAAUGGUCGAUGCUGCGGAUAUGGUGAGA
This is a long non-coding RNA of Nymphaea colorata (pocket water lily), 227 nucleotides long. RefSeq lists it as uncharacterized. The record is from RefSeq and is a predicted model, not a curated record. The transcript has 2 exons. NCBI's taxonomy places the organism in Eukaryota, Viridiplantae, Streptophyta, Magnoliopsida, Nymphaeales, Nymphaeaceae.